GCAAACUUGGUCAUUUAGAGGAAGUAAAAGUCGUAACAAGGUUUCCGUAGGUGAACCUGCGGAAGGAUCAUUAACAAAAAGGAUACAUUGGCAAACAUUGGCAAUGAGAGUUCAGAAAGUCACCUUGUGUGCAUCCAUUGAAAUGUGGGCUUUGGGGAGGACGGAGGGGGGGUUAUUUUUUUAUUUCUCCCUCUUCUCUCCCCAGGGUUUUCAACCUUUUCAAAUCUACGCUUCUAAAAAUGAAUUGUUUUAUUUUUUAAAAUGAAAAAAUAAAUACAACUUUCAACAACGGAUCUCUUGGCUCUCGCAUCGAUGAAGAACGCAGC
Molecule: unclassified non-coding RNA, 326 nt
Filed under: uncultured fungus
Lineage: Eukaryota; Fungi
Description: partial contains small subunit ribosomal RNA, internal transcribed spacer 1, and 5.8S ribosomal RNA
Rfam family: Eukaryotic small subunit ribosomal RNA (bases 1-73)
Source: RNAcentral